RNAcentral lists this ribosomal RNA (719 nucleotides) under uncultured bacterium. Its description in RNAcentral is "bacterial SSU rRNA". It matches the Rfam family "Bacterial small subunit ribosomal RNA", at positions 60 to 790 of the family's 1533-position model. The record is from RNAcentral.
AGUCGAACGGAGAAUCAAGGAGCUUGCUCUUUGGAUCUUAGUGGCGGACGGGUGAGUAACGCGUGAGCAACCUGCCUUUCAGAGGGGGAUAACAUAGGGAAACCUGUGCUAAUACCGCAUAAGAUGGUAAGAUCGCAUGAUCUAGCCAUCAAAGGAGCAAUCCGCUGAAAGAUGGGCUCGCGUCUGAUUAGAUAGUUGGUGAGGUAACGGCUCACCAAGUCAACGAUCAGUAGCCGGACUGAGAGGUUGACCGGCCACAUUGGAACUGAGAAACGGUCCAGACUCCUACGGGAGGCAGCAGUGGGGAAUAUUGGGCAAUGGGCGAAAGCCUGACCCAGCAACGCCGUGUGAAGGAAGAAGGUCUUCGGAUUGUAAACUUUUGUCUUGUGGGACGAUAAUGACGGUACCAUAGGAGGAAGCCACGACUAACUACGUGCCAGCAGUCGCGGUAAUACGUAGGUGGCGAGCGUUAUCCGGAAUUAUUGGGUGUAAAGGGUGCGUAGGCGGGCUGUAAAGUCAGAUGUGAAAGGCUGGGGCUUAACCCUGGGACUGCAUUUGAAACUUAUGGUCUUGAGUGAAGUAGAGGUAAGCGGAAUUCCCAGUGUAGCGGUGAAAUGCGUAGAUAUUGGGAGGAACACCAGUGGCGAAGGCGGCUUACUGGGCUUUUACUGACGCUGAGGCACGAAAGUGUGGGGAGCAAACAGGAUUAGAUACCCUGG